Lactuca sativa (garden lettuce) is the source of this 594-nucleotide non-coding RNA. NCBI's taxonomy places the organism in Eukaryota, Viridiplantae, Streptophyta, Magnoliopsida, Asterales, Asteraceae. The record is from RefSeq and is a predicted model, not a curated record.
GCUAAAAAGUAGAAUCUAUUCACGUGUUUGGUUCUACAAAGGGAAUUUAAUCCCCACUCAUCUGAGAUACACUGCACUUCAUCUUCAUCUGCUUUCCUUUCUCCCUCUUCAUCUACACUUCCUUUGCCGGCGAACAAUCUCUCUUCUGAAAGCCCACCAACUUAACUUCGCCACCGAUGCACCAAACGUCCUCAUCAGCAGCCUCUGUGGAAGCAUUUUAUAUGAAGAAUCAGUGUUGUCGAUAACUGUGUCCAGAUUGCAAUUGAUCAAACGCGUGGUGGACAAGGUUGCAGGAAGAACACAUGGGGAAAAAAAGGAGAUCCGGGUCUCCGCUCUCCGGUCACCACUCACAACAAAAUAUCCAACAUCCAUAGCUCAAGUACCUACUUAUUGUGUUCCUGAGAAUACAAGUCAUUUUGAAUAGCGUCAACAUAGAAUGUUGGUGAGUUCAUAAGCAUAUUUGUAUGAAAAGAUUUGUAACAUCUUUGUUUGAAAUGAUUUGUAUGAUUCCACAAAAUCCGAUAUUUUCUAUGAAAAUGGUUUGUAAGUCUCGUUUCAAAACUGUGAAUAUAUCCAUGCAUGUCCUUUGUUUUC